Long non-coding RNA from Cephus cinctus (wheat stem sawfly), 1055 nucleotides. RefSeq lists it as uncharacterized. NCBI's taxonomy places the organism in Eukaryota, Metazoa, Arthropoda, Insecta, Hymenoptera, Cephidae. The record is from RefSeq and is a predicted model, not a curated record. The transcript is spliced from 2 exons.
UUGGGUUUCUUCGGGUAAAGUUGAAAAAUGUCGAGAGGUAGGAUCCAAAGAAAAGAAGAAAAUCUUUCUCACGAAAGAUCCAAGCGCGAUCCUUUGUGUUUCCAACUUUUGUCCGUCCUUAGGUAGCGGAGGUAGCCUCGAGUUUUCAUCUACCUAUAUAUACCUAUAUAUAUUCACGUACUCUGACACCUACGUAUGCAUAUGUACAUUGAUGAGAACGUGUGCCAUGUGAGCUCGUUUGCCAGCUCAAGGUUGACAAAGAACUAAAACCGUAUCGUCUGACUUUUCACAAUUCGUACAGUUACAAAUUUUACGCUGCCAUCGGUAUUACCGUCCUUAGUCUUUCACAGAGCUUGAGUCAGAAACGCGCUAGGAGUUUGUUUGCUUUGGUAUGUCCAAAUUAUAAGAAAACCAAACGGUUUCUAAAGGGUAUAACAGUUAUGUAUAAUAUUCAAUGAUACUCUGUGACGUAGAAAAAAUAGAAUCCCUUUGAUAUUUUCUUGCUUUCCUCUAUUUGCAGUACUGUGACGUUCUUGUGGUUACCUUGGGAGUCGUGAGAGUGAUUCAUACAUAGAAUGCGCGCAGGUGGUGAGAAUAGGUAGACACCAGCCAGUGGUUAUCGUUUCCGCAAAGCAGUGACGUUAUGGAAUUCCUUUCUUAGGGCAUAGACAAUCUGUAUGAUUUUCAAUAAUAAUCUGAUUCACCAAAGAUUGCUCACGAUGAUGGUGAAUAAAUGAUAAUUAGUUCUUGCAAAUUCGCCAGUUGAUAUGACGACCGAAAUUGGAUAGGCGAGUCUGGUUUAAUAAAUGUUUGUUGAUUUGACUCUUAUCAAACGGAUGGAUAAUCUUCAUGUAUCUGUCGCCGUUUCACUUGGCAAUAACGGAAUUCUGAGGAUGGAUACUGAAUUUAAACGAAUACUUAGUAUUCCUGGGACAUUUGUAAUGUCUUUUGUAUGCUUGGAUUUGCUUGUAAUGGGGCGGAAUUUAUAAUUUUUUGAAGUUAUAAUUCUUGUCUGUUGUGAGUUUCACUUUUUGAAUAAAUGACUUUUUGAAGAA